UACGUAGGCAGCAAGCGUUGUUCGGAGUUACUGGGCGUAAAGGGUGCGUAGGCGGCUAUUUAAGUUUGGUGUGAAAUCUCCCGGCUCAACCGGGAGGGUGCGCCGAAUACUGAGUGGCUAGAGUGCGGGAGAGGAAAGUGGAAUUCCUGGUGUAGCGGUGAAAUGCGUAGAUAUCAGGAGGAACACCGAUGGCGAAGGCAGCUGCCUGGCCUAGGACUGACGCUGAGGUGCGAAAGCGUGGGGAGCGAACGGG
This 253-nucleotide ribosomal RNA is filed under the name uncultured prokaryote. Its description in RNAcentral is "partial 16S ribosomal RNA". It matches the Rfam family "Bacterial small subunit ribosomal RNA", at positions 524 to 776 of the family's 1533-position model. The record is from RNAcentral.